AGCGCAGGCGGGAAGACAAGUUGGAAGUGAAAUCCAUGGGCUCAACCCAUGAACUGCUUUCAAAACUGUUUUUCUUGAGUAGUGCAGAGGUAGGCGGAAUUCCCGGUGUAGCGGUGGAAUGCGUAGAUAUCGGGAGGAACACCAGUGGCGAAGGCGGCCUACUGGGCACCAACUGACGCUGAGGCUCGAAAGCGUGGGGAGCAAACA
Molecule: ribosomal RNA, 207 nt
Filed under: uncultured bacterium
Lineage: Bacteria
Description: partial 16S ribosomal RNA
Rfam family: Bacterial small subunit ribosomal RNA
Source: RNAcentral